RNAcentral lists this unclassified non-coding RNA (334 nucleotides) under soil metagenome. Its description in RNAcentral is "partial contains 5.8S ribosomal RNA, internal transcribed spacer 2, and large subunit ribosomal RNA". The stretch from base 1 to 120 matches the Rfam family "5.8S ribosomal RNA", at positions 35 to 154 of the family's 154-position model. The record is from RNAcentral.
GAUGAAGAACGUAGCGAAAUGCGAUAAGUAAUGUGAAUUGCAGAAUUCAGUGAAUCAUCGAAUCUUUGAACGUACAUUGCGCCCGCCAGUAUUCUGGCGGGCAUGCCUGUUCGAGCGUCAUUUCAACCAUCAAGCCCCCGGCUUGUGUUGGGGACCUGCGGCUGCCGCAGGCCCUGAAAACCAGUGGCGGGCUCGCUAGUCACUCCGAGCGUAGUAAUACAUCUCGCUCAGGGCGUGCUGCGGGUUCCGGCCGUUAAAAGCCUUAUUUACCCAAGGUUGACCUCGGAUCAGGUAGGAAGACCCGCUGAACUUAAGCAUAUCAAUAAGCGGAGGA